Gasterosteus aculeatus aculeatus (three-spined stickleback) is the source of this 1633-nucleotide long non-coding RNA. Lineage: Eukaryota; Metazoa; Chordata; Actinopteri; Perciformes; Gasterosteidae. The record is from Ensembl.
CUGCCCUCCUCGGUGCCGGUAGCAGCCGACUCUGCGAUGCCGCCGGACGUCUCGCAUCUCCAGCCUGGAACUGAACACAGGGGUUUUUCUGCUUGAUGAAGUUGAUGGAGGAUCUCCUUCAUCCUUUCCUCUGUCAUCUCCUCGUCCUCGGAGCCUCCCUCCUGCUUUAUGUCGUCCAGCAGACUCUGCAGCCUCUCCGGAGUCAUCUCCUCUUCCUCCUCUUCUUCUUCUUCCUGCCUUCCAUUUCUGUGACCGGUGGGCGAGGCGGCGUCUUCCCUCUGACGCUCCAAAGCGACCCCUUGCCCCCCCUUCGGUUUUUCCCCGUCUCUUCCCUUCCCUGACUGCUCCACCGCCCUCCUGUCAUUAUCCGGCCUCUCGAAAUAAACCUGCCCCGGGUUUUCUUCUCGGGUGGUCAAGGUUGUGUCUUCAGCCCCAACGAUUGGGGGCUGCGGGGCCGUGGAGCCGGGGCCCGCGGCGACUGUGGGUGGGUCGCUGCUAGAUGUGCUGGUGGUCUGAGUGAGGGAGAGGUCGCUAGGUCUAGUUAGCGUGAUCUUGCUAGGGGAGUCUGCGCUAGCUUCGCCAUCGCUAAAGAAGUUGUCUGAGCGAAGCGGAGUGGGGGGCUGGAAGUUCAGGUCUGUGGAUGGCAGGAGUAAAGGAUUAAAGGGUGAGGGGAUUGAAGGGGGGAGGCGAGACAAAAAACAUUGGGAAGGGAGAAAGGAAGGAGGAAGGGAAGGGUUGAGUGGUGGAGGUGAUGAAAUGAGAAACACUUGUAACAUCUAACAUUUGUUCAAAAGUCAGACAGGUGUAACCCCGUCUUUCUGUGCUGUAAACACAACACUGACAUGUUAUCUCUUAUAUGAAGCUUCUAUGAAGUUCAUACGAAGCCCUUAUGCAGCUCAUAUGUUUGAAAAUACCCAUCAAGCAGAUAACAGAGAAACAUUAUCAUUCGUUUGCAGUCGUAUUUGAGUCCAGCAGAUGAAUUUGAACCCACUGUUUGUCUUUAAACAUGUUUUUGGUGCCCACCGACUUGAAAUAUCAACAUAGUAGAUCGCUCAGCAGAUAAACAGACAGAUAUUUCCAUCAGUAGUUGGUGGAGACCAAAAAUGGAGUUAAAAAAGAGAAAUUUUGACUUUCAGAAGCAAAGGGGAACAGAAACACGACUCCGGAAGAAUGCUGCUGCUUCUCAUUUGCUGGAUGUGUAAAUUAGCAGCUCCUUGUUAAAUUCAAGCUUUUGUUGUGUUUUCAAAGGUUUUGCCCCAAAGUGACCCAAAAAAAAGAACGCUGCUUUAAGGAAUCUCCACGUGUGAGGAUCCCUGUGUGACUGCUGGACCAGCGAUACAGAGAAGACACAUGGUCACAUCACCAUGGGGACAGAAACCAAAGACAGAAUAUGAAAAGGAAGAAACUUCACUUGUUCUGUAUGUGUAUUCCUAUUACAUGAACAUCAGCCACACUAUUGCCACAAAGGGCCCGUUAGGACGUGUUGUAGUCAGCCGAGCCCAGACUUUAGACAAGUAAAAUGCAACAAGAGUUAGUGAGGACGGGUUUCAGCCCUUUAAAACAACCCUGAGCUUGGCUCAUUGUCUCAAUAAUUAUAUAAUAAUUUAAUUCUAACGUAUGAGCAAAAGCUCAA